This is a long non-coding RNA of Cebus imitator (Panamanian white-faced capuchin), 137 nucleotides long. RefSeq lists it as uncharacterized. Lineage: Eukaryota; Metazoa; Chordata; Mammalia; Primates; Cebidae. The transcript has 3 exons. The record is from RefSeq and is a predicted model, not a curated record.
GCCUCCAGAGUAGCUGGGACUGCAGGACUGCUGUUGGGCUGGAAUGCCUGAGGGUUAAAUCAUUCUUCCCUCCCUCCGUCACCCAUGGCCCAGGACUGACUAGGGGUGGUAUAGUGGAGAAUUGCUUGAACUGGGAC